CUGCGGGCGGGCUCGACGUACCCUACCGCGGGGUGGUGCUCUGACUGCGGCAACCGUUGAAGGGCUGCCCCCGGGGAGGCAGCGAGGCCCCUCUGGUCCCUUAAACAUCUUCUCAAGUGUUUUCUACGCUAAGAGGAAUGGCUGCACCACUUUCCUGAGCUAUGGCAGUCAGACCUGGUAGCAGUAACUUCUCUACAGAACCCCCAAACCUGGCAAGAAUGGUUCAGAUUUUGGCAGAUUAUGGCUUCCUCCCCACCCAGAACUGAUGAUAUCAGCAGAGCAACUUUCAUUGUUAGAGAGAGGAGAGAGAGAGAAGCCUUGUUGGUUGACGUCACUUGGUUCAUGAAGCCUUCGCCUAGAAGUGAAGCUGCUGAACAAACCUUGAGAAGAAUCAUCUCCUGCUUCAAUCUGCUGCUGGAUAGGAACUAAUCAGAGAGAGGCGGAAGGCGGAGAAGGAGGGAGUCAAGGGCUUUCGCGAUCACAAAUCUCACCUCCACUCCAACUCUCUUUAUACUUUCCUUGCAAAAAUAAUAAUCGAGACAAGGAGGUGGUAGGGCUUCCAAAAACAAAAAUCGUAACCUUCAGCCAUCUGGGGAAGGCAAAAAUCUCAUCCACCGCAACUCUCAGUUCGAAA
RNAcentral lists this long non-coding RNA (634 nucleotides) under Neogale vison (American mink). RNAcentral describes it as "Neovison vison (American mink) lncRNA (ENSNVIG00000007701.1)". Lineage: Eukaryota; Metazoa; Chordata; Mammalia; Carnivora; Mustelidae. The record is from RNAcentral.